Humulus lupulus (European hop) is the source of this 1879-nucleotide long non-coding RNA. RefSeq lists it as uncharacterized. The transcript has 3 exons. The record is from RefSeq and is a predicted model, not a curated record. NCBI's taxonomy places the organism in Eukaryota, Viridiplantae, Streptophyta, Magnoliopsida, Rosales, Cannabaceae.
UUUUUAUUUUUGCAAACUUUUUCCUCAGCCCCUAUAUUUUCUCUUUCCUCACGUUACCUGUCUCCUCCGUAUUUUACCUCAGUAUGCGAUGGAAUGGGCAUUGGCUUCUUCUGUUCUGGGAGGCGAUUUAAGACGACAUGGGUGGUGGGUUAUUAUGCUAUGUUCUGGAAAAAAAAGCAUUGGCCAAGAAUGUUUACUUAAUAAAAACCUCAUUUUUAGGUUUUAUCUGUCUGGAAAAUUCAAACGUCGGGAAGGGCAGGAAGAGUAAAGAAGGGAUCAAGUGUGAAUUAUCCUAUUGCUAUUGUUACAAGUAUCUUGGCUUUUAUUAGAUACUUGUCUGCAUAUGUGAUGGUUAGUACUGGGUGUGGGGUUUUGUUCUUGCUGGUGGUAGCAAAACUUCAUGCAAUAUUGCGUCCUUUUAUACUUCAAAGAAUGAAGAUUGAUGUUGAGUUAAUGCUUCCUCGAAAUAAAGAAAUCAUAUCAUAUGUGGCAAUGACAGAGUUUCACCAGAAUUUUCAGGAUCAUCUGUUCAAUAAGACAUAAGAAAUUUAUUUAUCUGAAGAGAGGAAAAUUGGUCGUAGUAAACAUGGAAAACUUAACAAUUUGGUUAUUCAACCUUGGAAGAACUGCAACUAUCUUGACCUUAUACAGGCAAUUUCGAUGGCUCAUGUAACUCCAAUAUUUUAUUGUAUGCUAUUUUCUUUUUGAUCCUCUUCAAUUCCACGCAUAUUUUUUUUUUGGAGUACUCUUGGCAGACUUGUACCCACCCAUUGAGCAGACAGUUGAGCAGUGUGUCAAAUUUCAGUUUUUGGAUUGACUGUUGGUCAAAUUAUUUGCUCGGAAACACAAGGUGCGUUGCAGUUUAUCUAUUUGUAUUAUUUAUUAGCUAAUGAACUAGCAUAAUCUCUUCUUCAUCUUCUUCCUUUUUUUAGGAGUUGAUCUUCUCUCAGUGGACUAAGAUUUUGGAUAUAAUGAAUUAUUAUUUUAGUGAAAAAAGGUUUGAUGUUUGUCAAAUUGAUGGCAGUGUGAACCUUGUUGAAAGGAGAGGAAAGGUUUGUUCCAGCUCACUCAAUUUAUGGAGAACAUGAAGCUGUUUUUAUCAAUGAUGUUUUCUUUUUAUUGUUUGAUUUUGAUGUUGGAAUGUUCCAAUUUUCUGCUCCAAUAUUCAAUAGAUUGUUUCUUCUAACCAACUGGGAUGCAUAUAAGUUCCCUGUGUUGGAUUUUUAAAACUUAAGCUUUCCACUGAUGAUCUACCCUUGACCACUCUUUGGCAAGUUGUCUUGAGUGUCCUUUAAUUAAUUAUGAAAUCUCAAAGAAAUGAUAAGUACCUGAAAAGAUGCCUAACUAAUUUUGAAGUGAUGUGAAUAAUUACUACUCUUGGUGUUGUAAAUUUAUGGGAAGCAUUUGUCUUCUUUGUUCAAUGCAACUGUUUUUGUGCUUUUACUUUCAAGAUCUACUGCAUUUUUAUUAACAAUUACCAAUAUUAUGUUCUCUAUGAGUAAACAGAUGCGAGAGUUCAGUUAUCUGACUAGAGAUUUCAGAAUUUUCCUUCAAAGCACCAGAGCUACAGCUGUUGAUACCUGUUUUAUGUAUUCUGGGUCACACGUUCAUAAGAGCUUAUAGCAAGUUGAAGCUUCAGCAUUUGGUGAUUGGGGAAGGGCAUUUUAAACUAGAAAAAUUGGCACCGAAUACUUCCGAUGUUGGAGAGGUUUGCUUUAUUGGUUUUCAUUUUCAUACAUAUAUUUAAAUUGGCUUGCCAGUUAUCUGCUUGGUGUCAUCAACAUAAUUAGGAGAUUUGGAUGUACUUUUCCUUAAAUCUGUUCAGAUUUCAUUCAUGCCAUUGAUUGACUAUCUUAAUUUGAUCUCUUCUUUUUUUUUG